Long non-coding RNA from Ictalurus punctatus (channel catfish), 273 nucleotides. RefSeq lists it as uncharacterized. NCBI's taxonomy places the organism in Eukaryota, Metazoa, Chordata, Actinopteri, Siluriformes, Ictaluridae. The transcript is spliced from 2 exons. The record is from RefSeq and is a predicted model, not a curated record.
AUGCACUCUCAUGAGUAAAAGACUACUACUGCAUUCGACUAGACGUCACAACUAAUAAUUCCCGACCUCCGACCAGGAAAACUAACAAACAGAACGUUCCCUCAACUACUCGGCUGUCAUACUCUGGACCUCAAGACACGCCAACCUACCAUGCAUGUCUUUGGACUGGGGGAGGAAACCAAAGACCCAGGGGAAACCCCCGCAGCACGAGGAGAACAUGCAAAUUCCGCACACACAUGGCCCCAGCAGGACACGAACCCCAGAGCCUGGAGG